UCUCCUGGAAGUGGGUUCAGGAAGGUCACACCCAGACUCUAUUAUGGGAAUUUAUUCACUUAGGAGUGAAACCCAUUGGAAAGAUGACAAAGUAUUUUAAAAUUUUGGCAUCGGCUAAUGGCACAUAGCUUUUUUCUAUCCUCAGCUCUGUCCUGCCAGUCGAUAAGAAGAAAAAAGAGGAUUGCCCAGGCCCUGAGGCAUGCCAAAUUCUUAGUCCAGUAACUGGCGGUAUCCCCACCCCAUCCCCUAUCCCACCAAACCCCAAACUCCCCGAGGGCUCACCUGUUUAACUAGAGUUCAGAAUAGACAAGGCAGUCACUGUGAGAAGUCAACCUGAGAUCCUCU
This 345-nucleotide long non-coding RNA is filed under the name Bos taurus (domestic cattle). RNAcentral's name for it is "long non-coding RNA NONBTAT012033". The record is from RNAcentral. Lineage: Eukaryota; Metazoa; Chordata; Mammalia; Artiodactyla; Bovidae.